GGACUUCCAGAAGCGGCAUCCACACAGAGAACCGGUUGUUCACAUAUUUGAAUCCCACCACUGUCCAUGCCCCUCUAUCCAGCAAUAAACACACAAACACAAACCCCAGGAGGAAGAUGGGGCAGAGGAAGGGACAGCAUCUCUAGGAAAAGAAAAGCAAAAGGGCAAAAAACAUCUGGAUGGAACAGAAGUUAAAAAAAGAGACAGAGAGAAUCCUGCUGAAGUGUUGCAAAGGAAAAGAAAAAAGAAAAAGAAAAGAAAAGAAAAGAAAGGUUAAGUUCACCAGAGAAACAGACUUUUUUUUUAUUGUUGUAUUGUUGUAAAGGGAGAAACUGUUUUCCUGGAGAACUUAACCUUUUUUUGUAACACCUCAGCAGAGAACUCUGCAGUCUGUUGCAUUUCUUGCCCACUUUUUUUAUUUCAAUAGUUUCAGUUCUUAUCACUGAGUGUCAAAUGAGCUGGUAAUUUUGGGACUAGUGCAUGUUAAAAAAAAAAAAAAACCUCUUAUUCCCAUCCCCUCAAUGAACAACCAUUUUUGUUCAGUGAUUCUUCAAACUCACAACAGUGUUGAAUAAGGGGGAUAAGACAGAUCCUUGCUGUUGCAGUAGUCGCAUAAGUAUCAUUCAGAUGCUUGGCAACUAGGGCUGGCAAUUAUGAUGUUGUGGAGUCUUGCAAUCACAUGACUGCCAUUUGCCACCUUCAUUGCUGGCUUUCCACAAGCAACAUCAAUGGGGAGGCCCCCAGGAGCUCACAAACGGCGAUCAUAUGAUCUGGGACAUUUGCAACCGUGUGGGACUGCCACAAUUGCUACUUGCCCCACAAUGAUCUACUCAAGGAUGGCUCUGGAUGGGAUAGAAUGUAACCAGAGACUUAGUAGCCCUGAGCAAGGUUCAAAGAAAUGGGCAAUGAACAAGACCAAAUAUAUUAGGAAUUAAGAUCCAAUGGCUCUUUAUAUUUUGACACUGGAUGUGGAAAAAGCAGGUAUUUAUAAAACUAUAAAUUAAUUGCCUACUGACUUAUCUAUUUUUAAUUGUGUUCUAAACCUGUUACCUGAAAACACAUGAGGACAUGCAACCUAAUGGUGUGACAAUAACAGCAAACAGUAAAUCAAGAAGCAAAGGGAAAAAAAUAAGCCAAAGCUUAGAAAAGUCAAAGCAUCAGACUUCAAAUGAAAGCAGCCCAAAGUCUGAUGAUGUAAGAACUUCUAAAUCUUCCCACUGCAUCCAUGUCAGAAAAUUUAAUUGAAUCCACUAUCUUCCCACUUUUGCCUAGUUACAAUGUUUUAGUCAGUUCUUUAGUCUGUUAUUGUUUACCGACUCUUCAUGUGACAUUGACCAUUAUAUUAUGAACUGUAACCAGUAGUAUGCAUCAUGAAGCACCCAACAUAUUUAUUGGUACAAACUCUGUCUUGUUAUAUAAGUACUAAAGACGUUGGUACUACAAAAUCAGAUUUCAGGAAAACAUCAUUAUUUUAUUCUUGAUCAAAAAUACAAUUUGAAGUUUUCAAUUAUGUUGUCUCUGAUCAAGAAAAGAAAAAUGCCAUUUAAGUACGAAACUAGACUCCUAGGCAUAUUUAUUAAUUGUUUAACACCACCCAAAGUCCAAUGACAGUGUUAGAGGACACCAUACUAUGUGAGCUUAGUAAAGCUAUCCAAGGAGGUGCAUCAAAAUUAUACACUAAUUCUUUCACAACUAGGUGUUAAAGCAAUUGCUGAGCUAAUUAUUUACAGUAAAAGAAACUUUUGGCAGAGUUGGACCAUAUUUAAUGUUUGUGAAGAGUUAAAGGCUUCAAUGGAAAUUAUGCAAAGUGGGCAGCACCAUCCAUACACGAGGAACCAUGCACAUGGAUAACCUUCAUCAGCCCUUGGAUGAAGUAUCCCCUUCCUCAUCCUGUUGGGCCCCUCACUGACAUUGACAUCAUCAACCAUGGUAUCCUGCUACAACAGGUAGGAAUGGGAUCAACCAUUUUACAGUGGUUCCAAUCAUACUUGAGUGGGCAAGUGGGCAAUUCCAGUUAGUAAUCAUAGGGUGUGAGUGGUCAAGCCCUUGGUUGCUCCAUUUUUCAGUGCCAUUGGACUUGGCCCUAUAGAAUUUACCAUUCUAUAAAACCACUGGGAGAGGUUGGUUCAAUAUCUUGAUGACACUCAAGUGCGUAUCAUAAUACUGGCCUGAACUGGAGAUGCUGCAAAGAAUCUUCAAUUUAGUUUAGCAAGAUUUCUAUCUGUAGAUGAGGAACAAUAAAGGUAACUGCUCAGAAGUAAUGGUACAUGUCGUUCUUGGUUCUUGGGGCCUGAUAACAAUUUUGGCAAACUCAAGCAACUAUUAGCAUCAUUAUAGAUAUACUCUGAUAAUUGCGAAGGAGAAUGCUUUUCAACUCUCUUUCUCCUGACCAAAUUAUCUAAGUUCCACUGUCUCUUUGUCCUCUGGAAUGUGAUCUCUCUGUCCUAAGAAGCCAGACCACAUUUUAAUACAGCUUAAGAAAUGGAGAGUUGGAUCUAGUGUCAGAAUCUGGCCUCCCGGUCACUUGGUUCACUGGCUCAGGGGUGUCAAACUGCCGGCCUACGGGCCGAAUGCGUCAUGUCGAAACUGCGCCCACCCCAGCUCCGGCAAUGGGAAAAAAGUUGCAAUACAUCACAUGACACGGCGAGUUUGUCACUCCUGCACUAGCUGAUCGCAAAACCUCCAUUUCACAAUAUUCUUGCAAGGAACAGCUGCCUGGAGCCCAAAUAGAUUAAUUCUCCUUCAAUCUGGAGAAUUCUUCAGGCUGCAAGUGUCUUGCCUGAGCCCCAGGUAGUUGUGGGGCCCAUUGCAAGCUACUCAAUCCACCACAUCCCCACCAAAAGCAAAACAACCCUAAAUGGAAAAAAAAAUAUCUCAAGACAUAGAGGAGCAGAAUCAUUUUAAAUAUGUUUUGUUUCCAUUUUCCACUCAUAUUUUAAAAGAUUCAAAGGACCCAUCCUAAUUUAUUACAACAAUAGAAUUCUUAGAUGCCUUAGGUUUAUGUGCUGGAUUAAAAUAAAAUAAAAAAGUUAUUCUUGCAAAAAUAAAUAAAUAAAGUACUAAGACUUCCCCCCAAAAAGUACACAUUUUAACCUUUAAGCCGACUUUAUCUUUUAGUAGGUUACUAAAUACAUGAUUUUUUUUUUUAAAACGACCCUGAUGGACAACUUACAAAACAGAACUGGAUAGAAAUGCCCCCAUUUUCUAUGGCUGUUUCCCUAUUGCUUAAAGUUAUUUGAAGAAAAGAUUUUUAUCUUUGGUGUUAUUAUUACUACUUCUGUAACUUUAAAACCAAAGCAUCAUAAUUUUAUCACAUUCUGUGGAAGGGGUCUUUGGAAUGAGAAGGUAGCUUUUGCACACUCCGUGAUCACUUCUUUAUUACAACUGAUCCCUAAAUACACCUGCAGAGGAGAACAAUCUUCACUGUUUACAGGGCAUUCCUAUAUGUGUUUUCUCAGAGCUAAAUGUCAGUGUAUUCAGGGAUGUUUAUUUAGAUAUUCAUGCAUAUGAUUGCUGCCUAAGGGGAUGUAAUAGAAUCCAAAUAAAGUGCGUCAGUCCUGGAAACAAAUGAUUUAACCUGCUGAAGUUCUUGAUAAAUUGUUUCUAUCACCAGUGGAGCACCCUUGCUCGCUGGGGCUGGUGGGAGCUGAUGUUAGUAACAUAUGGAGGAUCAAAAAUUUCUCAUCUGCCUUGCAGUCAUGAACCAUUUCAUUUGAAGUUAGAGAUUUUUGUAAUAAGCCAUCUUUCCCGUAGUGCUCUUUCUCUGUGGUUUUAUUUGAAACUUGAUCUGAAUCAGUCCUAAACAUUAUGUACCUGGAAAAUACAUGAAUAUAUAUGAAACCCAAUCACAGAAGCUGAGAGAAAACAGGGAGAAUGGUGUACUUUCCAUCAACUCUUCCACUCUUAAAUUUUAAGCCCUACUGUUUGUCUUUCUUUUUGUUUUGUUUUCUGAAAGCUCAAGAGUUAAAUUAUAUGUUUGGAUAAUAUGAAGUAUGUUGAUCAGCAUGGCAUUUUUCUUUCAGUUUUUACUUAUUGUAAUUUAAAUGCUGUAGCAAUACUAAAGAAGAUAUCAUACCACAUAAUCAUUUAGAUUGAUUGUAACUGACAAAGAAAUAAAAAUUAAAUAUCAGUACCAAUAAUGCUGAAACCAGGUGUAUGGGGUAGACAUACACACACACACACACACACACACGUGUGUGUGUGUG
Molecule: long non-coding RNA, 4205 nt
Organism: Crotalus tigris (Tiger rattlesnake)
Lineage: Eukaryota; Metazoa; Chordata; Lepidosauria; Squamata; Viperidae
Exons: 3
Source: RefSeq, a predicted model, not a curated record